This 496-nucleotide ribosomal RNA is filed under the name uncultured bacterium. RNAcentral's name for it is "partial 16S ribosomal RNA". It matches the Rfam family "Bacterial small subunit ribosomal RNA", at positions 29 to 507 of the family's 1533-position model. The record is from RNAcentral.
AUGAACGCUGGCGGCGUGCCUAAUACAUGCAAGUCGAGCGAACAGACGAGGAGCUUGCUCCUCUGACGUUAGCGGCGGCCGGGUGAGUAACCCGUGGAUAACCUACCUAUAAGACUGGGAUAACUUCGGGAAACCGGAGCUAAUACCGGAUAAUAUAUUUAACCGCAUGGUUCAAUAGUGAAAGACGGUUUUGCUGUCACUUAUAGAUGGAUCCGCGCCGCAUUAGCUAGUUGGUAAGGUACCGGCUUACCAAGGCAAAGAUGCGUAGCCGACCUGAGAGGGUGAUCGGCCACACUGGAACUGAGACACGGUCCAGACUCCUACGGGAGGCAGCAGUAGGGAAUCUUCCGCAAUGGGCGAAAGCUUGACGGAGCAACGCCGCGUGAGUGAUGAAGGUCUUCGGAUCGUAAAACUCUGUUAUUAGGGAAGAACAAAUGUGUAAGUAACUAUGCACGUCUUGACGGUACCUAAUCAGAAAGCCACGGCUAACUACGUG